AUUGAACGCUAGCGGGAUGCUCUACACAUGCAAGUCGAACGGCAGCGCGGACUUCGGUCUGGCGGCGAGUGGCGAACGGGUGAGUAAUGUAUCGGAACGUGCCCAGUAGCGGGGGAUAACUACGCGAAAGCGUAGCUAAUACCGCAUACGCCCUACGGGGGUACGCGGGGGAGCGUAAGACCUUGCACUAUUGGUGCGUCGGAUAUCGGAUUAGCUAGUUGGUGAGGUAACGGCUCACCAAGGCGACGAUCCGUAGCUGGUUUGAGAGGACGACCAGCCACACUGGGACUGAGACACGGCCCAGACUCCUACGGGAGGCAGCAGUGGGGAAUUUUGGACAAUGGGGGCAAGCCUGAUCCAGCCAUCCCGCGUGUGCGAUGAAGGCCUUCGGGUUGUAAAGCACUUUUGGCAGGAAAGAAACGUAGCGGGCUAAUACCCCGUGGAACUGACGGUACCUGCAGAAUAAGCACCGGCUAACUACGUG
This 484-nucleotide ribosomal RNA is filed under the name uncultured bacterium. RNAcentral describes it as "partial 16S ribosomal RNA". It matches the Rfam family "Bacterial small subunit ribosomal RNA", at positions 30 to 507 of the family's 1533-position model. The record is from RNAcentral.